GAAGUGGCUCAGUGGUAGAGCAUCUGCUGGGCAGACAGAAGGUCCCAAGAGCUUCUGUUAAAAUGACCAAGGCAGCAGGUGAUCCGGUCCAAUUCCCAGCAGCUCCA
RNAcentral lists this transfer RNA (107 nucleotides) under Sphaerodactylus townsendi. RNAcentral describes it as "tRNA-Ala". Lineage: Eukaryota; Metazoa; Chordata; Lepidosauria; Squamata; Sphaerodactylidae. The record is from RNAcentral.